This 1368-nucleotide ribosomal RNA is filed under the name Prosoplus sp. NLG-2014. Its description in RNAcentral is "partial 16S ribosomal RNA". The record is from RNAcentral. Lineage: Eukaryota; Metazoa; Arthropoda; Insecta; Coleoptera; Cerambycidae.
UUCUUGAAAAUUAAAAAAUUUGGCGGUAUUUUAGUCUUUUCAGAGGAACCUGUCCUGUAAUCGAUAUUCCACGAGUUAAAUUACUUUUUUUAAUAAUUUGUAUAUCGUCGUAGAUUGAAUAUUUUUUGAGAAUAGAAUAUUCAUAAUUUAAAUUUUAAAGGAAAUCAGAUCAAGGUAUAGUUUAUAAAAAAGUAGAGAUGGGUUACAAUAAAUAUAAUUUAAGAUUUUUCAUUGAAAAUUAAGAUGAAUAUGGAUUUGAAAGUAAUUUAAUUUAGAUUAAUUAAAUGAUAUAAGCUCUAAAAUAUGUACAUAUCGCCCGUCGCUUUCACUUUAAGGUGGAAUAAGUCGUAACAAAGUAGAUUUACUGGAAAGUGAAUCUAGAAAGACAAGUUAGAGCUUGAUAAAAGCAUUUUAGUUACAUUAAAAAGUUAAUUGUGAAAUUCAAUUUAACUUGAUUAAAAAAAAUUAUUAAUAAUUUUUUAUGAAAAAAUUUUUUAAAAAAAGUAGUUAAUUAAUUUUAGUAUAAAUAAGAAAAAAUAAUUUUAAUAAUAGAGGAUUAUAGUAUUGUGAAAGAAUUUUUUAAAAAUUUUAAAAGAAAAAUUAAUAAUUUGUACCUUGUGUAUCAGGGUUGAUUAAAUUUAAAAAUUAUUUUGUUUUCUCGAAUUUAAAAGAGCUAAUUUAUUAUUAUUUUAUUGUUGAAUAAAUAUUUUUAAUAAUAAAUUUGUAAUGAAACGUUAUUCGUUUUUAAAUUUAUCUAGUUAUUUAAGAAAAAAAUUUAAUUUUAUUAUUAUUAAUAAUAAAUUUUAUUUUUAAUAAAUUAUUAAUAAUAUUUUAUAAGUAAGGGGAUGAGCUUUUAUUUAGAAUUUUAAAAAUUUUUAAAAAAAUAAUAUUUAUAGGAUUUAAAAUGUUCAUAGUUAGAAUUUUGUUAUAAUUGAUUUUAAUUAAAAAAUAUUUUUUAUAAAUUUUGAGUUUUUUAUUAAAUUAUUAAUUUUAAUAAAUAAAAUUGAGAAAUAAUGAUUAAAUUAGUAGUGAAAUUUGUAAAUUGUAAAUUGAGAUUAAGGUUAAAUAAAGGAAUUCGGCAAAUAGAAUUUUCACCUGUUUAUUAAAAACAUGGCUUUUUGAUAAUAAUUUAAGGUCUGGCCUGCCCACUGAGUAUUUAAAGGGCCGCGGUAUUUUGACCGUGCAAAGGUAGCAUAAUCAUUAGUUUUUUAAUUGAAAGCUGGAAUGAAUGGUCGGAUGAAAAAGAAGCUGUCUCUAUUUAAUUUUUAAUGAAUUUUAUUUUUAAGUAAAAAAGCUUAAAUAAAUUUGAAAGACGAGAAGACCCUAUAGAGUUUUAUAAUUUUUUAAUUUUGAAGUUUUAGAAUUUUA